UCUUUGCUUUUCAGAGCUUAUAAGGAGCAGGCAUCUGAAGCUGCACUCUGAAGCUGUAAGUGGUAACUGACAUUUUAAGUGACAUUUUAAGUAAUAGAAGGUGUUUUUCUGUUUUUCUGCAAAGGGAUUACUCUUUAGGAAGAUGAAAGAGAAACCAUACUUUGCAUGAACAUAGUCCUGCUUCUUUGGCAAAACAAGGCUUUCAUUCUAUUUUCCAGCUAUUCCAGAGAUGUUCCUGAACAAGUUACCUGUUGGUGAAAGCUUCAAAAGGAAUACUUAAGUGACCAAUCCCAUUCAUACUGUGGGCCGGGAGAGGAAAAUCAAUAUCUGUUGGAGAAUCUGAAGAGCCAAAUCUCCUGAGCCUAGGCCUACUGCUGUCAGCAUCUCUGAGACCUCUCUCACCUGAG
Molecule: small RNA, 407 nt
Filed under: Pongo abelii (Sumatran orangutan)
Lineage: Eukaryota; Metazoa; Chordata; Mammalia; Primates; Hominidae
Description: processed transcript
Source: RNAcentral